RNAcentral lists this transfer RNA (90 nucleotides) under Chloroflexota bacterium. Its description in RNAcentral is "tRNA-Leu". It matches the Rfam family "tRNA". Rfam says of the family: Transfer RNA (tRNA) molecules are approximately 80 nucleotides in length. Their secondary structure includes four short double-helical elements and three loops (D, anti-codon, and T loops). Lineage: Bacteria; Bacillati; Chloroflexota. The record is from RNAcentral.
GGAGGGAUGGCAGAGUGGUUGAAUGCGCCGGUCUCAAAAACCGGUGGGCCCCUCCGGGUCUCGCGGGUUCGAAUCCCGCUCCCUCCACCA